Lactuca sativa (garden lettuce) is the source of this 809-nucleotide non-coding RNA. The record is from RefSeq and is a predicted model, not a curated record. NCBI's taxonomy places the organism in Eukaryota, Viridiplantae, Streptophyta, Magnoliopsida, Asterales, Asteraceae.
GUAAGAAAUCUAGGGUUAAGGGUGGUGUUAUCAAGAGACCAAAGUUUAAAGGGUCAUUUAUGUCCUGCUUCGUGACAUCAAGGAGUGCAGAAGGGGUGAGACCUCUUCUCGUUUUUCUUGUCAUUGCAUCGUGCCCUCCUCUUAAUCGAACCCUAGCUUUUUAUUAAUGUGGGAGCCGCCAGGAGUGAGGGGAGGAAGCUGUCAAGCUGGUUUUAUUUCUUGAAGCAUCACUGCCGCUGGAGCUACCAUCGUCGGAGCUUCUAGCAGUCGGAUUCUACCACCAUUCACCUUCGUUGCUGUGUCGGAGUUAGGGAAGAAGAGUGUUGGGUGAAAGUAACGGAGGUAGUGAUGGUGAAAGGCGGUUUUGCAGCAGGUGCAGGUGGGAUGUGAUGUUAAGUGAUCGAAGGUGAGUUCUGGUGGGUGCUCGAUAGUUGAAGGCUCUUCUCUGUGAAAGGGCUGCAACAUAGGAUGUUAAAGGUUGCUUGGAGAUGGCGUAGUGGGGCUGUAGGUGGCUGGUUUCUGCUGCCGGCGCUGGAGAUUGGGAUUUAGCCGGAGAAGAAGAACCUCCGGCAGGUUGUAUGUGGUGGAGGGUUAAGGUAUCAGCCUUGACCAGUUGACCUCUUGACUUUCAUUCAACAUUUCUUCAUGGGCUAAUUAUUAAUUUCGGCCUGAUUUAUUUGGGUAAAUACUAAUAUUUUAUUUUGGGUUUUUUUUUAUGGACUCAAGUUCUCAAAGAAAUAUUGAAUGCGGGCUAGUUUGCUCUCAUGAGUUUUAUUUGAGAUAUAGAAUUUAAAAAUUAAAAUGGUUAA